RNAcentral lists this unclassified non-coding RNA (276 nucleotides) under sea anemone metagenome. RNAcentral describes it as "partial contains small subunit ribosomal RNA and internal transcribed spacer 1". The stretch from base 1 to 153 matches the Rfam family "Eukaryotic small subunit ribosomal RNA", at positions 1678 to 1831 of the family's 1831-position model. The record is from RNAcentral.
GCUCCUACCAAUUGAGUGAUCCGGUGAAUUAUUCGGACUGACGCAGUGCUCAGCUUCUGGACGUUGCGUUGGAAAGUUUCAUGAACCUUAUCACUUAGAGGAAGGAGAAGUCGUAACAAGGUUUCCGUAGGUGAACCUGCAGAAGGAUCAAAAAAACAACAGAAAAACGAACAACAACAGCAUACAAACAGAUGAUACACAUAACAAAAAAAAAAAAAACAACACAGACAUGAACAUGACGACAUGCAUAAGAUGAACAACGUACUCAGUGAAGGA